AUGAAGGACGAGUAGGCAAUGGCGGAAGAGGCGCCAUUUUUUGAAACGAAGGAAGAUGAAGAAGACGACAAAAAGAGACGAAGAAGAGUUUUCGUCAGAAAAAAUGAAAAGAGAUAAAAGAGAUAGAAGAGACAAAAAGAAUGAGAAGCUUGGGAAAGAAGAAAAGGCUGUCGUAUCGAAUUGUCGCAUCGAAGCGAGUUCCGAGGUCGGCUAUAAUGAUGAAUAGACGGCAGUAANAAAGAAUGCAAGUUGUAAUUAAAUGUAUCAAGUAGAAUGGUUGUAAUAGAAUAGUUAAGUAUCUCUCUUUUGUUUCACUUGUAUGUCUUCUACUUGUGACGCUUGCUCUUGUAAUGUUCAGCACUGUUUGUGCUCUCGCUGUUGUUGCAUGAUCAUGUAUGUAUUCAAGUUGAUUUCCUGGGGACUUGUUGCACAUGAUCUCGUUG
Molecule: long non-coding RNA, 443 nt
Filed under: Ananas comosus (pineapple)
Lineage: Eukaryota; Viridiplantae; Streptophyta; Magnoliopsida; Poales; Bromeliaceae
Description: long non-coding RNA (ACOM_LNC038450)
Source: RNAcentral